Small nucleolar RNA from Hemicordylus capensis (graceful crag lizard), 75 nucleotides. NCBI's taxonomy places the organism in Eukaryota, Metazoa, Chordata, Lepidosauria, Squamata, Cordylidae. The record is from RefSeq and is a predicted model, not a curated record.
UGGAUGUGAUGAGAACUCUGGAGCCUGACCCAUCCCCACCUGUGGAGGCCAAAGCUGAUUUAAUGAGCCUGAUCC